Molecule: ribosomal RNA, 324 nt
Filed under: uncultured eukaryote
Lineage: Eukaryota
Description: partial 18S ribosomal RNA
Rfam family: Eukaryotic small subunit ribosomal RNA
Source: RNAcentral
CCCUUAGAUGUCCUGGGCUGCACGCGCGCUACACUGAUGUGUCCAGUAAGCACCUAACCUCUUCCGAAAGGAACGGGUAACCUUUGCAAAGCACAUCGUGAUGGGGAUAGAUUAUUGCAAUUAUUAGUCUUGAACGAGGAAUUCCUAGUAAGCACAAGUCAUCAGCUUGUGUUGAUUACGUCCCUGCCCUUUGUACACACCGCCCGUCGCUCCUACCGAUUGGAUGAUCCGGUGAGCUAUUCGGACCUUCGCUUCGUCGAUUUUCGGCUUUGUGAGGGAAAGUCUCGCGAACCUUAUCAUCUAGAGGAAGGAGAAGUCGUAACA